AAUAGGUUCACAGGAAGUUGCAAAGGUGGCACUGAGAGGUCCCGUGUGCUCUUCACCCAGUUUCCUCCUGUGGUUGCGUCUUAGAUCCCAGGUACCGAACCAAAGAUGGUAGAGGAAAAGUUUUUCCUGCUUAACAUAUUCAACUCUCUACCCUCAAUAUAUUUGGCUGUUAUUAUUCUGGUUUACAUGUAUCAUAAUUUAACCAGUUCCCUACUGGUGGAUGUCUAGGUUUCCCCGAUGUUUUGCUAUUAAAAACACACAUGGUACACGUUUUUCUAGAUUGGGCAGGGUUUGCCCAUCUCCACUUCAAGCAGCA
Molecule: long non-coding RNA, 316 nt
Filed under: Pan troglodytes (chimpanzee)
Lineage: Eukaryota; Metazoa; Chordata; Mammalia; Primates; Hominidae
Description: long non-coding RNA NONPTRT009002
Source: RNAcentral